This 2245-nucleotide long non-coding RNA is filed under the name Nasonia vitripennis (jewel wasp). RNAcentral's name for it is "uncharacterized LOC116416245, transcript variant X1". The record is from RNAcentral. Lineage: Eukaryota; Metazoa; Arthropoda; Insecta; Hymenoptera; Pteromalidae.
GCUCCAGACGGAGCGCCUUAUCGAUCUGUUUAUUUGUGAGCUUGUGAGAUUUCUCCUAGUUUUCUUCGCGACAACUUUUUAUAACUGUUCUAAGAGUAGUAUAUUUUUCCAAGAAAUCUUAGAAUGAAGACUAUAAGAGCUCUUUGCGAGGCGCUAAUUUAGAAGUUUUUCCUUUGCUCAAGUGUGUCGGUUAGGCUUUGGAGCACUGACUUUGUACAACGAUUUUGCAGUAAACUCGAUUGUUUAAUUAUAUUUUUAACUUUCUGGUUAACAUCGAUUGCUGUAGCUGUAAUUACGUUUUAAACAAUAUUGGCAGUGAAUCGGAUCAUCAGUAGCAGUAUAUUGAGUAGCAGAGUGGGUCAGCAGGCGCAGCUCAAGGGUAUUCGCUCUCUUCUUUUUAUGUGAACAAAGAUGUCAGCUCCAAAAAAAAAAAAUAAAUAAAUAAACCAGCGAUUCUCAAACGGAAAGUGACAAAAGAAGGCGAUGAUCUCUAUGACAACGGACUUCUCAAAUUGAUUCAAAAAGAAAACCUGCAGGGUGUACAUGAGGCAUCGAAAAAAUUUUAAUUAUUUGAAAAACAAUCUGGUCGCCGAAUGCAAAAAAUAUUGGGAUAUCCAUUGAAAAAUAGUUUGGAAAAUAAAUUAGAAACCAAUGGACUACUUCUAUCUGCAAAUGUCAGCCCAGCGAACCGUUCUUUUUCUCGACAACAACAGUUAAAUCCAAAAUCAACUGAAACACUUGCCAACGGUUUACUAUCUGCAAAUGUCAACCCAGUACACCGUUCUUUUCCUGGACAACAACAAUAAACCUUUCAAUAUCAACGGCUUGCCAAUUUUUCAUGAAUUUGUAGAUUAAAGCAGUACUGUACCUGAUACAGAAGUCGCGUCAUUAGAACUAACAGCGAUUUCACCACAACUUCUUCAUUCAUCUACUGAUCUAAUGGAUACCGAUAUUGUAUUUUCACCACCCCGUGCAUUGAAGGACAAUGAAGAAUCAAUUUUAGUAAAAAAAUAAAGAUGUCCCUAUGGUUGAUAACUCAUACGAGCAAAAAGAAAUUGCAGAGCAAAAUGUAGAAGAGGGAGACGGAGAAGACGGCGAAUAUAGUGAAGACGGCGAAGACGACGAAGCUGGCGAAGAUGGCGAGAAAUCUGGAGAAGACGAAGAAGGCCGCCAAGAAGGCAGAUGAAAGCAAGAUGUGCAAGUACAAGAAGAAAUUGUACAGGUCUAAGAUAGACAGCAAGCUACUGUAGAAGCUAAUGACAUUCAUAGACGGGAAAUGCAUCAUGAUCGAAGACGGAGGGCUAUUGGAAACAAUGCGGAUAAAUUAUUACAACUGGAACAGCUGCAGCAUCGUGAAGACAUAUGUUGUUCUUCUUGCCGUACGCUUUUCCUGUAUAUGCUACAGGGUUACGAAGAAAUGCAAAUGAAACUUGACGAUUUGCUUCGAGUCGACCGACGUCCACGUGCUAAUAAUGUAGUGGAGGAACCAAUUUUUGAUACAUUGCAAAUGUUGCCAAUCAACGACAGGCAUUCUUUAUUAGAAUUUGAUCAGCAUUCGGCUGAUCCAGUCCAUCGGCAAAUGAGAUCCCAAUUUGCAAUGCAAAUAAUUAAUUUUUGUACAGCAUUUUUUGUACAUGCAUACAUGUCAAUUUAUAAUACACAUUUUAUGUUUUAGGAACAGAAAAUUAGUUCAUAUGAUGGAAACGAUUACAAGAAGUUAGUCCCUACCAUUCUGGCAGAUAUAAUGACGGAUGAUUUGGCAGAAAAUUGUACUUGGUUAAUCCUAAAAACCAACAAGAGCAAAAUAAGUCAUUAUAAUUUUCCAAAACUCAUAGCCAAUAAAAUUUAUUAAAAAGAAAUUCGACGUUGCUGUUCAAGAACGUGUACAAAAAUGGCUACAAAAACAGGGGACCGUAAGAGAGCUAAGGAACAGCAAGCCAGGAGACAAGCUGAAAUCGAGCGUCGAGAAAGGGAGUUACUGAAUGAAUAAGUAAAGCCGUACUAUAAUAGUCAUCGCGUGUGAAAAAACGUGGGCGCAAUGUCUAUGCUGUCGUAAAGUCACUAGCCGAAUUUGCCUGAUGCAAUGUAUUCCGAGAUCCUCUGUGAUAACAGUGGGCCAAUGUUACUUUCAUUAAGUUUGUAUUAUUAUUUUUUUAUUUUUUAUAAAAUGUAUUAUUUUUGUAAGGCGUUCCGUUUGGUAAAGAUUAAUUACAAACGUACUAAAUAAAACCAAUUGUUCAAUUUA